This 675-nucleotide ribosomal RNA is filed under the name Pseudomonas sp. SN17. RNAcentral describes it as "bacterial SSU rRNA". It matches the Rfam family "Bacterial small subunit ribosomal RNA", at positions 60 to 730 of the family's 1533-position model. Lineage: Bacteria; Pseudomonadati; Pseudomonadota; Gammaproteobacteria; Pseudomonadales; Pseudomonadaceae. The record is from RNAcentral.
AGUCGAGCGGAUGAGAGGAGCUUGCUCCUUGAUUUAGCGGCGGACGGGUGAGUAAUGCCUAGGAAUCUGCCUGGUAGUGGGGGAUAACGUCCGGAAACGGGCGCUAAUACCGCAUACGUCCUACGGGAGAAAGCAGGGGACCUUCGGGCCUUGCGCUAUCAGAUGAGCCUAGGUCGGAUUAGCUAGUUGGUGAGGUAAUGGCUCACCAAGGCGACGAUCCGUAACUGGUCUGAGAGGAUGAUCAGUCACACUGGAACUGAGACACGGUCCAGACUCCUACGGGAGGCAGCAGUGGGGAAUAUUGGACAAUGGGCGAAAGCCUGAUCCAGCCAUGCCGCGUGUGUGAAGAAGGUCUUCGGAUUGUAAAGCACUUUAAGUUGGGAGGAAGGGCAGUAAGUUAAUACCUUGCUGUUUUGACGUUACCGACAGAAUAAGCACCGGCUAACUUCGUGCCAGCAGCCGCGGUAAUACGAAGGGUGCAAGCGUUAAUCGGAAUUACUGGGCGUAAAGCGCGCGUAGGUGGUUCGUUAAGUUGGAUGUGAAAGCCCCGGGCUCAACCUGGGAACUGCAUCCAAAACUGGCGAGCUAGAGUACGGUAGAGGGUGGUGGAAUUUCCUGUGUAGCGGUGAAAUGCGUAGAUAUAGGAAGGAACACCAGUGGCGAAGGCGACCACCU